RNA transcript from Salvelinus fontinalis (brook trout), 2766 nucleotides. It is a transcript of the gene named solute carrier family 10 member 7, with no coding region annotated. NCBI's taxonomy places the organism in Eukaryota, Metazoa, Chordata, Actinopteri, Salmoniformes, Salmonidae. The record is from RefSeq and is a predicted model, not a curated record. The transcript has 12 exons.
CGUCAUCGUCAGUGUUGCCUGCAGAUUAUUGUACGGAUAUGAAAUCGUGUGUCGCUUUAUCCAUCUUCAAAACUGCAACCUGACAAAGUUUCUGUCGCUAUUAGGGCUUGUCCGGACGGGACAGGGAAGUUAGGUUCGGCCCGGGGAGCCGUGUCGAGGCGGGUAAUAUGGGCCUGUUGGCUAGGGUACGGAAAGAAUGGUUUAUUAUCGGUAUAGUGGCAGUAAUCGUGUCGGCGAAACUACAGCCUGCAAUUGGAUUGAAAGGAGGUCCACUGAGACCAGAGUUCACAAUCACCUAUGUUGCGGUGUCAGCCAUUUUCUUCAACAGCGGCCUGUCAUUAAAAACCGAGGAGUUGACCAGUGCCCUCCUCCAUGUGAAGCUGCAUCUGUUUGUCCAGUCCUUCACCCUGGUUUUCUUCCCUGUUGCCAUGUGGCUCUGCAUCAAACUACUGGCUCUUACCUCAAUCAACACCUGGCUCCUCCGAGGGUUACAGACGGUGGGAUGUAUGCCCCCUCCAGUCUCCUCUGCUGUGAUACUCACCAAAGCUGUGGGGGGGAACGAGGCUGCCGCCAUCUUUAACUCCGCCUUCGGGAGCUUCCUGGGAAUUGUAGUGACACCACUGCUGUUACUACUGUUUCUGGGCUCGUCAUCGUCCGUUCCGUUCUCCUCCAUCUUCUCUCAGCUCUUUAUGACUGUGGUCGUUCCUCUCAUCCUAGGACAGGUGUCCCGGAGGUUCCUGAGGGACUGGCUAGAGAGGAGGAAACCUCCGUUUGGAGUCAUCAGUUCUUUGGUUCUCCUGAUGAUCAUUUACACCACCUUCUGUGAGACCUUCUCUAACCCGGAUAUUGAACUGGACCACCUCAGCCUGUUGCUCAUCACCUUCAUCAUAUUCUGCAUCCAGCUGAGCUUCAUGCUGUUGACGUUUGUCUUCUCCACACAGAAACAGUCUGGUUUUACUCCAGCUGACACAGUAGCUAUCAUGUUCUGUGCUACUCACAAGUCUCUCACCCUGGGUAUACCCAUGUUAAAGAUCGUGUUUGAGGGGUAUGAGCAUCUCUCUCUGAUCUCAGUCCCUCUCCUCAUCUAUCACCCUGCUCAGAUCCUACUGGGUUCAAUACUGGUCCCCACCAUCAAGAGCUGGAUGAACAGCAGACAGAAGGUAGAGAAAACACACACACACACACACACAGAGAGAUAUAUCUAUUUAUCUAUCACACCAACUAUUAUCUAACUCGGUCCCUCCGUUCUCUCCUCCCUGGAACAGCCUAGUAUUUUAUUGCAUUGAUAUCUACAGUACUCUACCUGUCUGUGGAGUGAAGUUGGCCGACCUACAGCCUAUCUGAAGUGUACUACCUACACUUCUCCCCCCGUGUGUACACUUAUUCACUCCCCCCUCAUGGGGAGUAUCCUUUAAACUGUGACAGAAGGGACUACUUCCUUCCUUCCUACGUAUCUCUCUGGUGGAAGGAUACAUACAGAAACACAAGUGCCUUAUCACAACCACGUGACUCGCAAAACACGUAGUCCUGGGCUUUAACGGUUGUGAUGGUUACUAUGACAAAAACUUGUAUGAUUAUUCGAUGGUUUACUUUUAUACGAACAUUAGAAGUCUCUAUUUUUGUAUCCCCCAUGAAGAUGGUGUCAACUUCCUGCGAGACAAGAAGUGCUACUGAUCAUCAUCGGGAAGUGAUUUCUGAGACGGCACCGCCUGCCAUGGGCAGACAGAGACUGGCUGGGGACCUUGUCCUCUUUUCUAACUAUUUUUCUGGGGAUGUUACAUUCAGAAGACUCUUUUUCUGACAAUCAGUUUUUAUGGUGUUAAACAAUGACUAGUUUACUGAUAGUUUCUAAUGCUCGUUUAGGCUUUUUUUGGGAGGGGGGGGGGAUUUAAAAAAAAAAAACGUUAUUACCAUAGUUGAAGGACAGACAUCUGGUGAUGUCUCCCUGUCUUUAUUCUGGGGGAUGAAAAUGUGAAGUGUGCGUCUGAAUUGGCAUCCUAUUUACUCUAAAGUGCACUACAUUUGACCAAGGCCCGGCCAUCGGUAGUACACUAUAUAGAGAAUAUAGGGUGCCAUUUUGGACACAGACAAAACUCUGGGGGAAAAAAUCUCCAAGUCUCUGACCAUGAACCAAUAGGUCUGCAUUCAGCAGAUGGAGAUAUGACUAUAGCAUGGUUCCUUAUUCCACAGGUCAGAGAGGGCUUCUCUUCUACUUCCUAUAUUUCUAUCUGAACAGUGAACAUGUUAAACUAUGUCAGAAGUACGUGCCAAAUAGCACCCUAAUUCCCUAUAUAUAUAUAUAUAUAUAUAUAUAUAUAUAUAUAUAUAUAUAUAUAUAUAUAUAUAUAUAUAUAUAUAUAUAUAUAUAUAUAUAUAUAUAUAUAUAUAUAUAUAGUGCACUACUGUUGCCCAGGGCCCAUAGAGCUCUGGUAAAGAAAAUGAAUGAGUGCACGACGAAGGGAAUAGGGUGCUAUUAUUUGGGACGCAAGCCCCCAUUGCCUAGGUGCCUUGGCAUAACGUCAGAAAAUACAUACUAACACAUUUGAUGAUUAUUUUGUUUUCAGAUUUUUCUAACGCUGAUUACCAAACAAACACUGUGUGACAACAAGGACCAAUGGCAACGUGUUCCACGUGUAAUUCUACUCCUUUAUAGGCCAGUCGGGACUCUCGGUACUGAAAAGAUAACCUUUCCGUUUGGGCGUAAGUUAGAAGGACAGGAGCCGGGGUUUCUUCUUCUCUAAUAUGAAUAAAAACUGUGAUUUUAAA